GGGGAUAACUACUGGAAACGGUAGCUAAUACCGCAUAACGUCGCAAGACCAAAGAGGGGGACCUUCGGGCCUCUUGCCAUCGGAUGUGCCCAGAUGGGAUUAGCUUGUUGGUGGGGUAACGGCUCACCAAGGCGACGAUCCCUAGCUGGUCUGAGAGGAUGACCAGCCACACUGGAACUGAGACACGGUCCAGACUCCUACGGGAGGCAGCAGUGGGGAAUAUUGCACAAUGGGCGCAAGCCUGAUGCAGCCAUGCCGCGUGUAUGAAGAAGGCCUUCGGGUUGUAAAGUACUUUCAGCGGGGAGGAAGGGAGUAAAGUUAAUACCUUUACUCAUUGACGUUACCCGCAGAAGAAGCACCGGCUAACUCCGUGCCAGCAGCCGCGGUAAUACGGAGGGUGCAAGCGUUAAUCGGAAUUACUGGGCGUAAAGCGCACGCAGGCGGUUUGUUAAGUCAGAUGUGAAAUCCCCGGGCUCAACCUGGGAACUGCAUCUGAUACUGGCAAGCUUGAGUCUCGUAGAGGGGGGUAGAAUUCCAGGUGUAGCGGUGAAAUGCGUAGAGAUCUGGAGGAAUACCGGUGGCGAAGGCGGCCCCCUGGACGAAGACUGACGCUCAGGUGCGAAAGCGUGGGGAGCAAGCAGGAUUAGAUACCCU
Molecule: ribosomal RNA, 654 nt
Filed under: uncultured bacterium
Lineage: Bacteria
Description: bacterial SSU rRNA
Rfam family: Bacterial small subunit ribosomal RNA
Source: RNAcentral